AAGAGAGGCAGGUUGCACUAGGGAUUGCUAACCCCCAAGUUCCACGGUUCAAGCCCGUGGCUCACUUA
Molecule: transfer RNA, 68 nt
Filed under: Brienomyrus brachyistius
Lineage: Eukaryota; Metazoa; Chordata; Actinopteri; Osteoglossiformes; Mormyridae
Description: tRNA-Ser (AGY)
Source: RNAcentral